Molecule: long non-coding RNA, 384 nt
Filed under: Capra hircus (goat)
Lineage: Eukaryota; Metazoa; Chordata; Mammalia; Artiodactyla; Bovidae
Description: lncRNA (ENSCHIG00010029242.1)
Source: RNAcentral
GUGGAAAAGAGGAGUCCUCUCUGGUACUCAGAAGCUCACAUUAUAAAUAUAAUUAGGUGGCAUGCGUCUUUAAUAACACUAGGGUCUGGCCUGGGGGGAAACAAACAGGUGAACUCCUGGAUGAACUAGAUAGCUGCUCAACGGGUGGAACUGGAGAUCAGGAUAGUUGAUAAACUUUGCUUAGCGGUUUUCCCUGCCUUCACUCACUGGGUUCCGCGCUCGGCCUAACCCUUUAGGCUGGCGUACUCCGGGAAAGACGCUAGACGGCGCUGCUGGGACGCACUUUCUCCCGGGAAAGAGUCAAGAGAACAUCAUACAGAUAUUUAAAAAAAAAUUAACAUGAAUCAGAAUCCUGACAUGCCUGGUACUUUAAAGGAGGAAGAA